CAGCAGCCACGGUAAUACGGAGGGUGCAAGCGUUAAUCGGAAUUACUGGGCGUAAAGCGCACGCAGGCGGUCUGUCAAGUCGGAUGUGAAAUCCCCGGGCUCAACCUGGGAACUGCAUUCGAAACUGGCAGGCUAGAGUCUUGUAGAGGGGGGUAGAAUUCCAGGUGUAGCGGUGAAAUGCGUAGAGAUCUGGAGGAAUACCGGUGGCGAAGGCGGCCCCCUGGACAAAGACUGACGCUCAGGUGCGAAAGCGUGGGGAGCAAACAGGAUUAGAUACCCCGGUAGUCCCUGUCUCUUAUAC
RNAcentral lists this ribosomal RNA (301 nucleotides) under uncultured bacterium. RNAcentral describes it as "partial 16S ribosomal RNA". It matches the Rfam family "Bacterial small subunit ribosomal RNA", at positions 509 to 807 of the family's 1533-position model. The record is from RNAcentral.